Molecule: long non-coding RNA, 2019 nt
Organism: Diorhabda carinulata
Lineage: Eukaryota; Metazoa; Arthropoda; Insecta; Coleoptera; Chrysomelidae
Exons: 4
Source: RefSeq, a predicted model, not a curated record
ACACCUUGUAGUCUUUACAUCAUGUUAGUAACGAUGAAUUCCGAUAUUGCAGUUCUAGUAACGAUUUAAUUAAUCUAUAUUAUAUAUACCUGGGUACAAAAAAUAUUGACUGCGCCGUGGAGUACUGUUUAAAAAUCGAUCAAGAAGCUUCUCCUGGAGAGUUUGGAGCUAAGAACAGGACGAAAUCACGGAGUUUAAAUGUUUAAACACGGGCUAGUGUUAGAAAUAAGUAGAAAGGCCAAUCAUGGACAAGUCUAUAGAUUAUCUGUUUGAAAGUAUCAAAAAAAUGUUGUUAACCAUUCCAAUUAGAAGACCUUGACAGAGACGGAGAUGUCUAAUAGUGUAAUGGAAAAAACUGUGAAAGUAUUACGAGGAAACGGUUUUAUUGAAAUUGGCCCUGAUAUAGGAGCUACUCCUCUGCAGGGCUGUGAAAUUUGUCUGCGGUUGUGUUUGAUGUUCUGGCUGGAAAGAGAACGAGAACUCUAGUAAGUAAAAACGGUCUUUCUCGGUUUGCAAGUGUGUGUGUGUGUUGAGAGGUUUCAUCUGAUGGUUAUGGUAGAGGUGUUUGUGAUAAGAUAUCAAUUACUAUGCAAUUCAAGUUCUGUUGAGGCAGAGUGGGCUCCUGUCCAAGUGGAAAGUGGAGUAGCCAGUGAAUUUUGGAGGUAAUUUGGAAGGGUGUCUGUGAUGACGAUUUCUGACUAAACCUUGGCAAUUAACGGUUCCAAUUGUGAAGUCUAUAGAACUUCAUACUUCAUUGGGAGGUAAUUGGCUUUUGGUAUGUCCGUCCUCUUCGAGCAACUUGGGUGAAAGUCCCCGCAAUUUUUGCAGGUUAUGAAAAUUAGUUAUGUACAAACUUUACGUAACUGUUUAAAUUUUAAUUUGUUAUUUACUGUAAAAACUGACAAUUAUUUCCUUAUAAUCCUAUUGGCGAUAAUGUUGGACCAUGUUUACAUACGGUUAGGUUAAAAUUCGACCUAUUUUUGAAAGAUAUAAUGAAAAAAACACAGGAUUUAAAUAAUCAAAUAGAAGUCCUUGAACUAUCUUUUAUCUUCGAUGGUUUCGGAAAUCCUUUUGAUAAAGUUUACCAAUGAAUCAUGGGUGUAUUUCCAAGUACCGAUUAAUCAUACAAAACAUUUUUAGGUUACUAUACAAAACAAGAAUUUUUCACCUCUACUCUAUCAAAGAUUAUAAUUUGAUAUUUUGAUUACUUUUAAUAAGUUUGUUUACUUUAGUUAUUUAAUUAAAUCGAUUAUUUUUCGAUUAAUCGAUUACCGAUUAUUUUUAAAAGUAUAUAUAGAUUAAUCGAUUAUUUUCCGAUUAAUCGAUAAAUCGAUUACCGAUUAUUUUUAAAAAUAUAUAUCGAUUAAUCGAUCUCUCGAUUAAUCGAUUACCGAUUAAUUUUAAAAAUAUAUAUCGAUUAAUCGAUUAUUUUUCGAUUAAUCGAUAAAUCGAUUACCGAUUGUUUUUUAAAAUAUAUAUCGAUUAAUCGAUAUCUCGAUUAAUCGAUUACCGAUUACUUUUAAAAAUAUAUAUCGAUUAAUCGAUUAUUUUCCGAUUAAUCGAUACAUCGAUUACCGAUUGUUUUUAAAAAUAUAUAUCGAUUAAUCGAUAUCUCGAUUAAUCGAUUAUUUUUCGAUUAAUCGAUUACCGAUUACUUUUAAAAAUAUAUAUCGAUUAAUCGAUUAUUUUCCGAUUAAUCGAUUACCGAAUAUUAAUCGAAAACCCCAUUAAUCGAUUAUUUUUCGAUUAAUCGAUUAUUUUGCCCACCCCUAAUCUACACUACACCUGUCAAAGGUUCGUUCUGAAAACGCGUCUUAUCGACGAACAAGUGUUAUAAAGACCCACACAACUAUCCAUGCUUCGUUUCAAUAUUUUUCGAUAGCUUUACAAGACUUAUGAACGUGGCCUGACUCAUACCGACCUCUGGAUAUGGCAAAUAAGAAAAUUUUCAACGAAAAUACUCAUUACAACAAUAUUCUUUACCAAAAAUAUUAGAAUAAACAUUAGUUACUUACCUAA